AGCUCCAACAGUGUAUAUUAAAGUUGUUGCAGUUAAAAAGUUCGUAGUUGUGCUUCUGCUGAGGCCAAUCGGUCCAUCCUCUGGGUGUGUAUCUGGCUUGGCCUAGGCAUCCUCGUGGGGUGAUGCAGCUGCACUUGACUGUGCGGUGUCUCACCCUCGACUUUUACCUUGAGGAAAUUAGAGUGUUUCAAGCAGGCGUAUGCCCUGAAUACAUGAGCAUGGAAUAAAGAUAUGGAGCUUUGGUUCUUGCUUGUUGGUUUCCGGGGCCAUGGUGAUGGUUGAUAGGGAUAGCUGGGGGCAUUCGUAUUUGACUGUCAGAGGUGAAAUUCUUGGAUUUGUCAAAGUCGGACUACUGCGAAAGCACUUGCCAUGGAUGUUUUCA
Molecule: ribosomal RNA, 382 nt
Filed under: uncultured eukaryote
Lineage: Eukaryota
Description: SSU rRNA
Rfam family: Eukaryotic small subunit ribosomal RNA
Source: RNAcentral